AGAGUUUGAUCCUGGCUCAGGACGAACGCUGGCGGCAUGCCUAACACAUGCAAGUCGAACGGACGAGGAGAAGCUUGCUUCUCCGAGUUAGUGGCGGACGGGCGAGUAACGCGUGAGCAACCUGCCCUUGAGUGGGGAAUAACGUCUGGAAACGGACGCUAAUACCGCAUAACGUGUCGGAGUCGCAUGGCACUGACACCAAAGGAGUAAUUCGCUGAAGGAUGGGCUCGCGUCCGAUUAGCUAG
RNAcentral lists this ribosomal RNA (245 nucleotides) under uncultured bacterium. Its description in RNAcentral is "partial 16S ribosomal RNA". It matches the Rfam family "Bacterial small subunit ribosomal RNA", at positions 8 to 248 of the family's 1533-position model. The record is from RNAcentral.